Non-coding RNA from Paramacrobiotus metropolitanus, 72 nucleotides. Lineage: Eukaryota; Metazoa; Tardigrada; Eutardigrada; Parachela; Macrobiotidae. The record is from the annotation of a RefSeq genome assembly.
GGGCGUAUGGUGUAGCGGCUAGCACGUCGGACUCUGAAUCCGUCGACCCGAGUUCGAUUCUCGGUAUGCCCU